Molecule: ribosomal RNA, 429 nt
Filed under: Acidobacteriota bacterium
Lineage: Bacteria; Pseudomonadati; Acidobacteriota
Description: Acidobacteria bacterium partial 16S ribosomal RNA
Rfam family: Bacterial small subunit ribosomal RNA
Source: RNAcentral
UGGGGAAUUUUGGACAAUGGGGGAAACCCUGAUCCAGCCAUCCCGCGUGUGCGAUGAAGGCCUUCGGGUUGUAAAGCACUUUUGGCAGGAAAGAAACGUCAUGGGUUAAUACCCCGUGAAACUGACGGUAUCUGCAGAAUAAGCACCGGCUAACUACGUGCCAGCAGCCGCGGUAAUACGUAGGGUGCAAGCGUUAAUCGGAAUUACUGGGCGUAAAGCGUGCGCAGGCGGUUCGGAAAGAAAGAUGUGAAAUCCCAGAGCUAAACUUUGGAACUGCAUUUUUAACUACCGAGCUAGAGUGUGUCAGAGGGAGGUGGAAUUCCGCGUGUAGCAGUGAAAUGCGUAGAUAUGCAGAGGAACACCGAUGGCGAAGGCAGCCUCCUGGGUUAACACUGACGCUCAUGCACGAAAGCGUGGGGAGCAAACAGG